This 1051-nucleotide ribosomal RNA is filed under the name Vibrio parahaemolyticus. RNAcentral's name for it is "bacterial SSU rRNA". It matches the Rfam family "Bacterial small subunit ribosomal RNA", at positions 56 to 1084 of the family's 1533-position model. The record is from RNAcentral. Lineage: Bacteria; Pseudomonadati; Pseudomonadota; Gammaproteobacteria; Vibrionales; Vibrionaceae.
UGCAAGUCGAGCGGAAACGAGUUAUCUGAACCUUCGGGGAACGAUAACGGCGUCGAGCGGCGGACGGGUGAGUAAUGCCUAGGAAAUUGCCCUGAUGUGGGGGAUAACCAUUGGAAACGAUGGCUAAUACCGCAUGAUGCCUACGGGCCAAAGAGGGGGACCUUCGGGCCUCUCGCGUCAGGAUAUGCCUAGGUGGGAUUAGCUAGUUGGUGAGGUAAGGGCUCACCAAGGCGACGAUCCCUAGCUGGUCUGAGAGGAUGAUCAGCCACACUGGAACUGAGACACGGUCCAGACUCAUACGGGAGGCAGCAGUGGGGAAUAUUGCACAAUGGGCGCAAGCCUGAUGCAGCCAUGCCGCGUGUGUGAAGAAGGCCUUCGGGUUGUAAAGCACUUUCAGUCGUGAGGAAGGUAGUGUAGUUAAUAGCUGCAUUAUUUGACGUUAGCGACAGAAGAAGCACCGGCUAACUCCGUGCCAGCAGCCGCGGUAAUACGGAGGGUGCGAGCGUUAAUCGGAAUUACUGGGCGUAAAGCGCAUGCAGGUGGUUUGUUAAGUCAGAUGUGAAAGCCCGGGGCUCAACCUCGGAAUAGCAUUUGAAACUGGCAGACUAGAGUACUGUAGAGGGGGGUAGAAUUUCAGGUGUAGCGGUGAAAUGCGUAGAGAUCUGAAGGAAUACCGGUGGCGAAGGCGGCCCCCUGGACAGAUACUGACACUCAGAUGCGAAAGCGUGGGGAGCAAACAGGAUUAGAUACCCUGGUAGUCCACGCCGUAAACGAUGUCUACUUGGAGGUUGUGGCCUUGAGCCGUGGCUUUCGGAGCUAACGCGUUAAGUAGACCGCCUGGGGAGUACGGUCGCAAGAUUAAAACUCAAAUGAAUUGACGGGGGCCCGCACAGCGGUGGAGCAUGUGGUUUAAUUCGAUGCAACGCGAAGAACCUUACCUACUCUUGACAUCCAGAAGAACUUUUCCAGAGAUGAUUGUGCCUUCGGAAACCUCUGAGAACGGUGCUGCAUGGCUGUCGUCACUUCGUGUUGGUGAAAUGUUCGGCUUAAG